Molecule: long non-coding RNA, 654 nt
Organism: Thalassophryne amazonica
Lineage: Eukaryota; Metazoa; Chordata; Actinopteri; Batrachoidiformes; Batrachoididae
Exons: 3
Source: RefSeq, a predicted model, not a curated record
GAAAUUGAAAGAGUUCAUGAAAUUUAAUUUUUGGGGGUAAUUAUAGAUGGCAAAAUCAGCUGGAAACCACAUAUCAAACAUGUACAGAGUAAAGUCUCAAGAAACAUUGCAGUAAUAAAUAAAGCAAAGAAGGUCUUAGAUGGCAAAUCACUCCACACUAUAGUCUAUACUGUUCACUAGUCUCUCCUUAUUUGCAGUACUGUGCUGAGGUUUGGGGCAACAACUACAAGACCUCACUAUGUUCAUUAAAUAUCCUACAGAAAAAAGCGAUACAGAUCAUUCACAAAGGUGGUUAUCAGGAUCAAACAAACGCAUUAUUUCUAAAGUCACAAAUACCCAAGCUUACUGACAUUGCGCAAUACCAAACAGCACAAAUAAUGUUCAAAACAAAAUAUAAUCUAUUACCAGGGAAUAUUCAACAAUUGUUCAAAAAUCAGGAAGAGGGUUACAAUCUAGGGAGAAAAAGUAACUUUAAAGAACCAAAAUUUCGUACGACCAGAAAGCGUUUUUGUCUAUCAGUAUGCGGGGUGAGACUUCUGAAGGGAUUCAAUGUGGAAUUGAAGCAAUGUUCAAAUAUGAGACAGUUUAAAAUGCUGUAUAAAAAUAUGAUUUUCAAAAGGUACAAGGAUGAAGGAGGUGGAGAUCGGAAAAGCA